RNAcentral lists this ribosomal RNA (496 nucleotides) under uncultured bacterium. RNAcentral's name for it is "partial 16S ribosomal RNA". It matches the Rfam family "Bacterial small subunit ribosomal RNA", at positions 28 to 506 of the family's 1533-position model. The record is from RNAcentral.
GAUGAACGCUGGCGGCGUGCCUAAUACAUGCAAGUCGAGCGAACGGACGAGAAGCUUGCUUCUCUGAUGUUAGCGGCGGACGGGUGAGUAACACGUGGAUAACCUACCUAUAAGACUGGGAUAACUUCGGGAAACCGGAGCUAAUACCGGAUGAUAUUUUGAACCGCAUGGUUCAAAAGUGAAAGACGGUCUUGCUGUCACUUAUAGAUGGAUCCGCGCUGCAUUAGCUAGUUGGUAAGGUAACGGCUUACCAAGGCAACGAUGCAUAGCCGACCUGAGAGGGGGUUCGGCCACCCGGAACCUGAGACCGGGGCCGAACCCCUAGGGAGGGCGGAAUGAGGGAAUUUUGCCAAAUGGGGGAAAGCCGGACGGAGCACCCCCGGGUGGGGGAUGAAGGUUUUGGGUUGUAAAACCCUUUUUUUUGGGAAAAAAAAAAUGGGGAAGAAACUGGGCACCUCUUGCCGUUACCUAAAAAAAAACCCCCGGUUAAUUCCGG